CAGGAGCAGGAUUGGACACCCCUGCCUUACAAGUACUCGGGAACAAACUUGGAGACUGGAGCAAGCGGAAGGAAUCCACAGGAGCAGAAACAAUAAACAGCACAGUGGUAGAUAACACAAGCAAGCAGAUAAUCCAAUACUUCACAAUGAAGAGACACGCCCAUGGACAGACAUUAUGGGAGGAGAUUUCUCGUUUCUCCUCAUCCACCAUUCAUAUAAAACGUCUUUUAUGAAUCCCUCAGACUAACUGACGUUCUCAUAUAGGACAAGAAGUUAAGAAGCAUGCUGGGUACACCAGCACACUCGCAUCAAAAAAAAUUGAUUAGCAUUUAUAGCAACUGCAGAUUAUUAGUCCGUAUAAGUCAAUGAGGCUAUACCUCAAUUGUUUUGUGAGAAAAAGUAACUUCACGGCCACCUGACAAGUAAAAAAAGUUCAAGAUACAUAUUUGGACAUGACUACCCUGCUUCUCAGGAGCUAUUCUUCAACCCAAAUCCUUUGAGAAGUCAAUGAGGAUUGUAUCUCUAUUGCUUGGUGAGGAUAAAAGCCAUGUGGAGUACAUUUAUGGUGGAUGGAUGCACUUUAUUGAGCUUCAUACUUGUUGGUCCCGUUCACUGCCAUUAUAAAGAUUGGACGCAUCAGGAUAUUUAUUAAUAUAACUCUGAUUGUGUUCAUCAGAAAGAAGAAAAUCAAAUACACUUGAUGGCUUGAGGACCCUGCAGGAGAUUUCCUAGAUUGAGAGGACCACCAGUGAGCUGGAACAGACCAUAAUAAAAAG
This is a long non-coding RNA of Ctenopharyngodon idella (grass carp), 776 nucleotides long. RefSeq lists it as uncharacterized. The transcript has 6 exons. The record is from RefSeq and is a predicted model, not a curated record. Lineage: Eukaryota; Metazoa; Chordata; Actinopteri; Cypriniformes; Xenocyprididae.